Molecule: unclassified non-coding RNA, 315 nt
Filed under: fungal sp.
Lineage: Eukaryota; Fungi
Description: partial internal transcribed spacer region
Rfam family: Eukaryotic small subunit ribosomal RNA (bases 1-46)
Source: RNAcentral
AAGUCGUAACAAGGUUUCCGUAGGUGAACCUGCGGAAGGAUCAUUACCAAGUGACAUAAUAGUAGUGGAUAGCCCACGAUGUGUACGUAGAAGUAUACGUCGUGGGUUUGGUAGCGUGUGUGGUAUAGUGGUGGUGUCUUGUUGUGUGGGAGCAGUGCGGCAGUGUGUUGUGUGUAUAUAUAAACUAUAUGCGCAUGUACUGUGGCGCGUGUGAACAUGCUGCGGGACGGGCCUAGCCACACACGUGUACAAAAACCAUGUAUUUCAUUUACAAACGAACAAAUACAACUUUUAACAAUGGAUCUCUAGGCUCUU